This 765-nucleotide ribosomal RNA is filed under the name Triticum aestivum (bread wheat). RNAcentral's name for it is "partial small subunit ribosomal RNA". Lineage: Eukaryota; Viridiplantae; Streptophyta; Magnoliopsida; Poales; Poaceae. The record is from RNAcentral.
AUGGCCAAUACCUUCCGCCACAUCUUCCUUAAAGCCGCUGAGGCCUUUUGCUGGUUGAUUGGCACAGUUUCCGGCAUGUUUCUCUUAGUGCUAGCACUGACCCUUUUUGCAUCCACUAGUUCCACUCCUUCAUCUCCUUCUUGCGCUCCCACUGCUAGUUCCACCUGCGAUGAAGAUGACUUGCAUCGACUCAUCGCAACUUGUGUGCGCUAUGUUGUUUGCGCUAUGGUCAUCACCGCAUUGUUGAUGGUCUUUGUUCGGAAGGUUGCGGACGGGGCAGCCAAGGACCACGAGCGGGUCGCCGCCUCGGAGGACGCAGCUUACAAGGCUGCUUACGAUGCCGCGGAGGUGGCCACUGUCGGGCGCGCCGAGAGGGCGGUCAAGGACCUCAACGACCCGCGUCGCGUCAAUCUUGCCCUGGGCGUUCUGGAGGCCGACCAGGUUUUGGCCAAAGCACGGAAGGAGCUGGAUGAGCGCGUCCAGGAGUAUAGGUGCGCCACCGAUAAGGUGGAACGCUUCGUGCCCAAGGAAGGUAUUGCUCGCCUCCCCAAAUGGUGGAGAAUUGCUGCGCGUUUAGCUUUCUUCUCGGCUGUUUGUGCACAUUACAUAGGUUCAGGCUACGCAGGAUUUGCAUUUUACUACUUCCUAGAGAUACAGACCAAGUGCACGACGAGCUUCCUGACAAUCUUUCUGUUCGUGCUCGCUGGAGUUGUAUCCACAACCAUUCAUGGUCUCUUACUCUGGGUAUCCUUGACCCAAAACUGA